UUUAUAUAAAUUUAAUUAAAAAAAAAAAUUAUUUUAAAGUAUAUUUAAGAAAAAAAUUUUAUGAAUUAUAGAUAAUUAGUAUUGAGAAAGAAUUAUAUUAAAAUAAUAAAAGAAGAAUAAAUUUUGUACCUUGUGUAUCAGGGUUUAUUAAAUAAAAUAAAAAUUUUAUUUUCUCGAAUUUAAAAGAGUUAAAAUAGUAUAAUUUUAUUGUAAAAUAAAUAUUUAUAAUAUUAUUUUUGAAAUGAAACGUUAAUCGUUUUUAAUAUAUCUAGUUAUUUAAGAAAAAAGUUUAAUUUAAUUAAUAGGAAUAUAAAGUUUAUUUUUUAAUUUUAUAUUAUUAUUAUUUUAUUUAUAAAGGGAUAAGCUUUUAUAAAAAUUUUUAAAAAUAAAUAUAUGAAUUAUAUAAAAUAUAGGAUUAGUAGUUUCUAUUUUUAAAAUAAUGUUAUAAUUAAUUUUAUAUAAUUAUUAUUUAUAUUAAUUUUAAAUAUUUUAUUAAAUUAAAAAUUUAAAUUAUAAAAAUAUUGAAAUUAUGAUAAAAUUAGUAAAGAAUAAUGUGGAAUAAGUAUAUAAUAAAGGUUGAAUAAAGGAAUUCGGCAAAAAAAUUUUUCACCUGUUUAUUAAAAACAUGGCUUUUUGAUAAUAAUUUAAAGUCUGGCCUGCCCACUGAGUAGUUUAAAGGCCGCGGUAAAUUGACCGUGCUAAGGUAGCAUAAUCAUUAGUUUUUUAAUUGUAAGCUGGAAUGAAUGGUCGGAUGAGAAAAUAACUGUCUCUAUUUAAUUUAAAUUGAAUUUUAUUAUUAAGUAAAAAAGCUUAAAUGAUUUUAAAAGACGAGAAGACCCUGUAGAGUUUUAUAAAAUUUUAAAUUAGAAUUUUUAGUAUUAUGAUUUUUUAGUUUGAAUUUUUAUUUAGUUGGGGCGAUUGAAAAAUUUAGGAAACUUUUUUUUUAUUGUAUACAUAAAUUUAUGAAAAUUUGAUCCAUAAAUAAUGAUUAAAAGAUUAAAUUACCUUAGGGAUAACAGCGUAAUUUUUUUUGAGAGUUCAAAUCGAAAGAAAAGUUUGCGACCUCGAUGUUGGAUUAAAAUUAAUUUUUGGUGUAGAAGCUGAAAAAUUAGGUCUGUUCGACCUUUAAAAUUUUACAUGAUCUGAGUUUAAACCGGUGUGAGCCAGGUUGGUUUCUAUCUUUAAAUAAAUAAUAUAUUUUAGUACGAAAGGAUCAAAUAUGUAAUAAAUUAUUUAUUUAUGAAUAUUAAU
Molecule: ribosomal RNA, 1251 nt
Filed under: Anoplophora horsfieldii
Lineage: Eukaryota; Metazoa; Arthropoda; Insecta; Coleoptera; Cerambycidae
Description: Anoplophora horsfieldi 16S ribosomal RNA
Rfam family: Archaeal large subunit ribosomal RNA (bases 1012-1170)
Source: RNAcentral